RNAcentral lists this ribosomal RNA (500 nucleotides) under uncultured Glomeromycotina. RNAcentral's name for it is "partial small subunit ribosomal RNA". It matches the Rfam family "Eukaryotic small subunit ribosomal RNA", at positions 591 to 1092 of the family's 1831-position model. The record is from RNAcentral. Lineage: Eukaryota; Fungi; Glomeromycota.
CCAAUAGCGUAUAUGAAAGUUGUUGCAGGUAAAAAGCUCGUAGUUGAAUUUCGGGGUCAGCAGGUUGGUCGUGCCACUGGUAUGCACUGGCCUCGCUGAUUCCUCCCUCUUGUAGAACCGUAACGCCAUUAAGUUGGUGUUGCGGGGAAACAGGACUGUUACUUUGAAAAAAUUAGAGUGUUUAAAGCAGGCCAACGCUUGAAUACAUUAGCAUGGAAUAAUGAAAUAGGACGAUCGAUCCUAUUUUGUUGGUUUCUAGGGUUGACGUAAUGAUUAAUAGGGAUAGUUGGGGGCAUUAUUAUUCAAUUGUCAGAGGUGAAAUUCUUGGAUUUAUUGAAGACUAACUACUGCGAAAGCAUUUGCCAAGGAUGUUUUCAUUAAUCAAGAACGAAAGUUAGGGGAUCGAAGACGAUCAGAUACCGUCGUAGUCUUAACCAUAAACUAUGCCGACUAGGGAUCGGAUGAUGUUAAUUUUUUAAUGACUCAUUCGGCGCCUUACG